This 502-nucleotide ribosomal RNA is filed under the name uncultured bacterium. RNAcentral describes it as "partial 16S ribosomal RNA". It matches the Rfam family "Bacterial small subunit ribosomal RNA", at positions 30 to 523 of the family's 1533-position model. The record is from RNAcentral.
AUUGAACGCUGGCGGCAUGCUUUACACAUGCAAGUCGAACGGCAGCACGGGUGCUUGCACCUGGUGGCGAGUGGCGAACGGGUGAGUAAUGUAUCGGAACGUACCCGGCAAUGGGGGAUAACGUAGCGAAAGUUACGCUAAUACCGCAUAUGCCCGGAGGGGGAAAGUGGGGGAUCGCAAGACCUCACGUUGUCGGAGCGGCCGAUAUCAGAUUAGCUAGUUGGUGGGGUAAAGGCCUACCAAGGCGACGAUCUGUAGCUGGUCUGAGAGGACGCCCAGCACAACUGGGACUGAGAUACGGCCCAGACUCCUACGGGAGGCAGCAGUGGGGAAUUUUGGACAAGGGGGGCAACCCUGAUCCAGCCAUGCAGCGUGAGUGAAGAAGGCCUUCGGGUUGUAAAGCUCUUUCGGACAGAAAGAAAUCGCCACUUCUAAUAAAGGUGGUGGAUGACGGUACUGUAAGAAGAAGCACCGGCUAACUACGUGCCAGCCGCCGCCGUAA